Molecule: long non-coding RNA, 165 nt
Organism: Quercus lobata
Lineage: Eukaryota; Viridiplantae; Streptophyta; Magnoliopsida; Fagales; Fagaceae
Exons: 3
Source: RefSeq, a predicted model, not a curated record
CACAAAUCAUCCUCAUCACUUUGCCUCUUCUCAUCUUACCUUCACAGCACACCAACGUCCAAUGGUCCAGCCAAGGGAUCUUUUGAUUUCCUCUCCAACCGAGACAGUGCCUUUCACUCUCACUCACUGCCUCUGCUUCUCGCCUUUUCUAUGCCUUUGCUUCGG